This 396-nucleotide ribosomal RNA is filed under the name uncultured bacterium. RNAcentral describes it as "bacterial SSU rRNA". It matches the Rfam family "Bacterial small subunit ribosomal RNA", at positions 115 to 507 of the family's 1533-position model. The record is from RNAcentral.
GCGUAGAAAUCUACCUAGUAGUGGGGGAUAGCCCAGAGAAAUUUGGAUUAAUACCGCAUACGCCCUACGGGGGAAAGCGGGGGAUCUUCGGACCUCGUGCUAUUAGAUGAGUCUGCGUCGGAUUAGCUUGUUGGUGAGGUAAUGGCUCACCAAGGCGACGAUCCGUAGCUGGUCUGAGAGGAUGACCAGCCACACUGGAACUGAGACACGGUCCAGACUCCUACGGGAGGCAGCAGUGGGGAAUAUUGCACAAUGGGCGCAAGCCUGAUGCAGCCAUGCCGCGUGUGUGAAGAAGGCCUUAGGGUUGUAAAGCACUUUCAGCAGUGAGGAAAGGGGUGUCGUUAAUAGCGCCAUCCUGUGACGUUAACUGCAGAAGAAGGACCGGCUAACUCCGUG